AUGACGAAGAAGAAGAAGUGGUUGUUGCGCCCAAAAUCGAACGCAAACGUGACAAGGAGAGCACAAUGGCGACUAGACGUGGGAGGCCAAUUAAGAUAAAUCCAAAGUAUGGUGCAGCUACAGAUGUCCCUGUGUCUGCUGUUCAGGAAAAUGCAGGAUCCAGUAUGCAGACUGCACAGCAAGUGUGCAGACAAAUCCCUGUGUCUGCUGUUCAGGAAAAUGCAAGAACAGGUAUGCACACUGCACAGCAAGUGUGCAAGUAGGCUACUCUGGUCAAUGCACAUCAUGUUUCAAAAUACUAUAAUAAUUUUAGAUUUGGAUGAGCCGCAUAAAAAAGUGAUACUUUACACAGCUUUUUGUCAGUUAAAAUUGCAAAUGACCUUGCGUUACAUGUACUUUGAAUAAUACAUUAAAAUAGAGAACUUUUUUUAUUGUAAUUUUUCACAAAAUUAUUGUUUUAAUUUUUUUGAUCAGAUAAAUGCAGCCCUGGUGAACAGAAGACAUUUUUCAAAAUCAUAAAUAACUAAUCUUUCCAAAAAUUUGAAAGGUGUUUUAGUAAUAACAAUUCUAUUAAUACUUUGUUAUAUUAUAUGAUUAAAUGAUUAUUUAUAUUUUCACAGAACAUUGUUAUGUACAUUUUAAAGGCACAAUAUGAAUUUUUUUUCGCUAGAGAUCACAUUUUCAAAACAAUAACAGAGGCAAAGUUUGAUGAUGCAAUAACUGAGCAUGAAACUAUGCACGUGCUCAGUCCUUCACUCAGUCUAGUUAAGUAUGUGUAGCAUAUUCAUGCAGAAAUGGCAUCAUUGCUGGGCAACUAUGGCCAGGGAUGAGUCAUUUCUUAAACCCAGAAUAUUUACAAAUCUUUGAGAAUGUUUGAAAUAACACAAGUACACAGCUGUACAAAAUAUAUAAUACUAUGCAAGUGGUUUUUGGAUAUUUUAUUGCAAAAAUGUUACACAUUGUGUCUUUACUCACUUUACUCAUAGUGUCUUAACAGAAAAAAAAAACGCUGCUUGCAGAAGUGCUCAGAGCACUUUUAAUAGUUUUUAUUUUUAUUGUGCAAUUUUACAAUGUACAAUAACUCUUUCAUAAAAGUAUUUAUUUAUUCUUUUAUGCCAACAUUUUUAUGAAUGUUUAAAAAUUCUUGUCAUUUUCUUUACUUUUAGAAGUUGCACCCACCAUACAAAUACAAUUCCAAAAUGCAAAGCAAACAAUAGAAGUUCAAAAACAGAAAAUCCUUCACCUGGAGGAUAAGGUUAACUCUCUGACAGAGGAGAGAAAUUAUCUUCGUGCAAGACUUGAAGAUGCUUUAAUUCAGAAGGGUCCCUCAGAAGGGGUACCUACACAGACUGCAACUACAAGAAAGAGCAGUACUUCUGAAUCUUCAAAUUUUUCAACUUCCGAGUCCUCUGAUUCUGAGCCCCCAAAACACAAAAAAAGAAAGGUUAAGGAGAAACACAGAGCGAAAAGACAUAAGAAAUCAAAGAAAUUGACUUCUGACUAUUCCAAAAGAGUGCAUACCCCAGAAGAAUCGCUGAAGAGGUACUACAAGGUAUUAAACCUUGUAAAACAGGGCCUGAGUAAGGCAGAGGCCUACAACAGACUAAACGUUGACAGGAA
Megalobrama amblycephala (Wuchang bream) is the source of this 1620-nucleotide RNA transcript. RefSeq lists it as uncharacterized. The record is from RefSeq and is a predicted model, not a curated record. NCBI's taxonomy places the organism in Eukaryota, Metazoa, Chordata, Actinopteri, Cypriniformes, Xenocyprididae. The transcript is spliced from 5 exons.